This 1505-nucleotide ribosomal RNA is filed under the name Lacticaseibacillus casei. RNAcentral describes it as "bacterial SSU rRNA". Lineage: Bacteria; Bacillati; Bacillota; Bacilli; Lactobacillales; Lactobacillaceae. The record is from RNAcentral.
CUCAGGAUGAACGCUGGCGGCGUGCCUAAUACAUGCAAGUCGAACGAGUUUUGGUCGAUGAACGGUGCUUGCACUGWGAUUCRACUUAAAACGAGUGGCGGACGGGUGAGUAACACGUGGGUAACCUGCCCUUAAGUGGGGGAUAACAUUUGGAAACAGAUGCUAAUACCGCAUAAAUCCAAGAACCGCAUGGUUCUUGGCUGAAAGAUGGCGYAAGCUAUCGCUUUUGGAUGGACCCGCGGCGUAUUAGCUAGUUGGUGAGGUAACGGCUCACCAAGGCGAUGAUACGUAGCCGAACUGAGAGGUUGAUCGGCCACAUUGGGACUGAGACACGGCCCAAACUCCUACGGGAGGCAGCAGUAGGGAAUCUUCCACAAUGGACGCAAGUCUGAUGGAGCAACGCCGCGUGAGUGAAGAAGGCUUUCGGGUCGUAAAACUCUGUUGUUGGAGAAGAAUGGUCGGCAGAGUAACUGUUGUCGGCGUGACGGUAUCCAACCAGAAAGCCACGGCUAACUACGUGCCAGCAGCCGCGGUAAUACGUAGGUGGCAAGCGUUAUCCGGAUUUAUUGGGCGUAAAGCGAGCGCAGGCGGUUUUUUAAGUCUGAUGUGAAAGCCCUCGGCUUAACCGAGGAAGCGCAUCGGAAACUGGGAAACUUGAGUGCAGAAGAGGACAGUGGAACUCCAUGUGUAGCGGUGAAAUGCGUAGAUAUAUGGAAGAACACCAGUGGCGAAGGCGGCUGUCUGGUCUGUAACUGACGCUGAGGCUCGAAAGCAUGGGUAGCGAACAGGAUUAGAUACCCUGGUAGUCCAUGCCGUAAACGAUGAAUGCUAGGUGUUGGAGGGUUUCCGCCCUUCAGUGCCGCAGCUAACGCAUUAAGCAUUCCGCCUGGGGAGUACGACCGCAAGGUUGAAACUCAAAGGAAUUGACGGGGGCCCGCACAAGCGGUGGAGCAUGUGGUUUAAUUCGAAGCAACGCGAAGAACCUUACCAGGUCUUGACAUCUUUUGAUCACCUGAGAGAUCAGGUUUCCCCUUCGGGGGCAAAAUGACAGGUGGUGCAUGGUUGUCGUCAGCUCGUGUCGUGAGAUGUUGGGUUAAGUCCCGCAACGAGCGCAACCCUUAUGACUAGUUGCCAGCAUUGAGUUGGGCACUCUAGUAAGACUGCCGGUGACAAACCGGAGGAAGGUGGGGAUGACGUCAAAUCAUCAUGCCCCUUAUGACCUGGGCUACACACGUGCUACAAUGGAUGGUACAACGAGUUGCGAGACCGCGAGGUCAAGCUAAUCUCUUAAAGCCAUUCUCAGUUCGGACUGUAGGCUGCAACUCGCCUACACGAAGUCGGAAUCGCUAGUAAUCGCGGAUCAGCACGCCGCGGUGAAUACGUUCCCGGGCCUUGUACACACCGCCCGUCACACCAUGAGAGUUUGUAACACCCGAAGCCGGUGGCGUAACCCUUUUAGGGAGCGAGCCGUCUAAGGUGGGACAAAUGAUUAGGGUGAAGUCGUA